GGCUUACGCAGUUGAUCCAGUAAAUGGGCGUUCGUUGAAAAUCACCCUCGGCUUUGGCUUGUAGCCGGGGGUGAGAUUCGGCGCCCAGAGCCACAGAGGCCUCAGCUCACCGCCCGCUGCCCCGGUGUGGGAGGGUGAAACCCAGGCCCCUACAUUC
RNAcentral lists this small nucleolar RNA (157 nucleotides) under Mus musculus (house mouse). RNAcentral describes it as "small nucleolar RNA, H/ACA box 7 (Snora78)". The stretch from base 30 to 157 matches the Rfam family "Small nucleolar RNA ACA64". Lineage: Eukaryota; Metazoa; Chordata; Mammalia; Rodentia; Muridae. The record is from RNAcentral.